Long non-coding RNA from Photinus pyralis (common eastern firefly), 257 nucleotides. RefSeq lists it as uncharacterized. The record is from RefSeq and is a predicted model, not a curated record. The transcript is spliced from 2 exons. NCBI's taxonomy places the organism in Eukaryota, Metazoa, Arthropoda, Insecta, Coleoptera, Lampyridae.
CAUAUAAAACCUUUUUUUCUGAUCGCACUGGGAUUGUUCGCGAUGUCAGUGUUCAAGCUAGUGCUGAUCAUGCUCAUUUUGGUCUGUGCGACCGAGGCGCGUAUUUACUGUCGUAUGUGCCCGCGUUUCUGCAGAGGUCGUGAACGUAAAUGGGGUACUUGCAACAACGGCAGACCUAUCUGUUGUCAACGAUUUUAGAGAGACAGACCAGCAGCCAGACAAAUGUGCCUGAUGUAAUAAAAACUUUUGCGUUUGAA